Molecule: non-coding RNA, 66 nt
Organism: Podarcis lilfordi (Lilford's wall lizard)
Lineage: Eukaryota; Metazoa; Chordata; Lepidosauria; Squamata; Lacertidae
Source: the annotation of a GenBank genome assembly
CUUGGGAGAGGCUGACUUGGCUGGUGUUGUACAGAGAAACCAGCUUGUUUACCUGCCCAUUCCAUG